GUCGGGAUACCUUUAUUGAUUGAAUCCAUCCCAAGAAUUAUUGCCCGAGGAGAUAUUUAAGAUAAAGUAGUAUAUAGGUCACAGCCUUGUUUAAACAUUUGGGCUUCAAAUCAUUUACAAACUUACAAAAAUCUAAAUAAAUUUCAUUUUGCUUCUCAUUUCUAAGGUUUUCUUUUUUUUAAAGUCAGAUUUGGGGACUCCGUUUGAUGAAAAUGUUGCAAUUUUAUUUUUUGAGUUUUUUUAUUAAAAUGUCCCCAAAAUGAAGGAUUGGUUGUAGUUCACUAUUUUUGUCUCAGGCCUAACAUUAAGUUUAAUCAAGCUACUCUUAGCAGAAGUAAUUCAGAUCUGAAGAGUAAGGACUUGUCCAAGGUCACUGGCUUACUGGUAGAUUAGGUACUAGAACUCAGAUUUCAACUCCAGCAGAAAAAUAUGGCUCAGGAGACUAACCAGACCCCAGGGCCCAUGCUGUGUAGUACAGGAUGUGGCUUUUAUGGAAAUCCUAGGACAAAUGGAAUGUGUUCUGUUUGCUACAA
This is a non-coding RNA of Ictidomys tridecemlineatus (thirteen-lined ground squirrel), 533 nucleotides long. The record is from RefSeq and is a predicted model, not a curated record. NCBI's taxonomy places the organism in Eukaryota, Metazoa, Chordata, Mammalia, Rodentia, Sciuridae.